AAAUUGAAGAGUUUGAUCAUGGCUCAGAUUGAACGCUGGCGGCAGGCCUAACACAUGCAAGUCGAACGGUAACAGGAAACAGCUUGCUGUUUCGCUGACGAGUGGCGGACGGGUGAGUAAUGUCUGGGAAACUGCCUGAUGGAGGGGGAUAACUACUGGAAACGGUAGCUAAUACCGCAUAAUGUCGCAAGACUAAAGAGGGGGACCUUCGGGCCUCUUGCCAUCGGAUGUGCCCAGAUGGGAUUAGCUAGUAGGUGG
RNAcentral lists this ribosomal RNA (258 nucleotides) under Escherichia coli. Its description in RNAcentral is "partial 16S ribosomal RNA". It matches the Rfam family "Bacterial small subunit ribosomal RNA", at positions 1 to 255 of the family's 1533-position model. Lineage: Bacteria; Pseudomonadati; Pseudomonadota; Gammaproteobacteria; Enterobacterales; Enterobacteriaceae. RNAcentral also lists the same sequence under 1 other name. The record is from RNAcentral.